This 544-nucleotide ribosomal RNA is filed under the name Pseudomonas fluorescens. RNAcentral's name for it is "bacterial SSU rRNA". It matches the Rfam family "Bacterial small subunit ribosomal RNA", at positions 104 to 644 of the family's 1533-position model. The record is from RNAcentral. Lineage: Bacteria; Pseudomonadati; Pseudomonadota; Gammaproteobacteria; Pseudomonadales; Pseudomonadaceae.
GGGUGAGUAAUGCCUAGGAAUCUGCCUAGUAGUGGGGGAUAACGUCCGGAAACGGGCGCUAAUACCGCAUACGUCCUACGGGAGAAAGUGGGGGAUCUUCGGACCUCACGCUAUUAGAUGAGCCUAGGUCGGAUUAGCUAGUUGGUGAGGUAAUGGCUCACCAAGGCUACGAUCCGUAACUGGUCUGAGAGGAUGAUCAGUCACACUGGAACUGAGACACGGUCCAGACUCCUACGGGAGGCAGCAGUGGGGAAUAUUGGACAAUGGGCGAAAGCCUGAUCCAGCCAUGCCGCGUGUGUGAAGAAGGUCUUCGGAUUGUAAAGCACUUUAAGUUGGGAGGAAGGGCAGUUACCUAAUACGUGAUUGUUUUGACGUUACCGACAGAAUAAGCACCGGCUAACUCUGUGCCAGCAGCCGCGGUAAUACAGAGGGUGCAAGCGUUAAUCGGAAUUACUGGGCGUAAAGCGCGCGUAGGUGGUUUGUUAAGUUGAAUGUGAAAGCCCCGGGCUCAACCUGGGAACUGCAUCCAAAACUGGCAAGCUAG